RNAcentral lists this non-coding RNA (142 nucleotides) under uncultured Gellertiella sp. RNAcentral describes it as "FMN riboswitch (RFN element)". It matches the Rfam family "FMN riboswitch aptamer (RFN element)". Rfam says of the family: The RFN element is a highly conserved domain that is found frequently in the 5'-untranslated regions of prokaryotic mRNAs that encode for flavin mononucleotide (FMN) biosynthesis and transport proteins. This element is a metabolite-dependent riboswitch that directly binds FMN in the absence of proteins. Lineage: Bacteria; Pseudomonadati; Pseudomonadota; Alphaproteobacteria; Hyphomicrobiales; Rhizobiaceae. The record is from RNAcentral.
UGUUCUCAGGGCGGGGUGAAACUCCCCACCGGCGGUAAGGAGAUUUCUCCAAGCCCGCGAGCGCCUUCUGCUUCUGGCGGAAGGGUCAGCAGAUCCGGUGCGAUUCCGGAGCCGACGGUUACAGUCCGGAUGAAAGAGAACG